RNAcentral lists this ribosomal RNA (327 nucleotides) under uncultured eukaryote. RNAcentral describes it as "partial 18S ribosomal RNA". It matches the Rfam family "Eukaryotic small subunit ribosomal RNA", at positions 1470 to 1796 of the family's 1831-position model. The record is from RNAcentral.
CCCUUAGAUGUUCUGGGCCGCACGUGCGCUACACUGACGGAUUCAACGAGCUUACAACCUUGGCCGAAAGGUCUGGGUAAUCUCCAAAAUCCGUCGUGAUGGGGAUAGAUUAUUGCAAUUAUUAAUCUUCAACGAGGAAUGCCUAGUAAGCGCAAGUCAUCAGCUUGCGUUGAUUACGUCCCUGCCCUUUGUACACACCGCCCGUCGCUCCUACCGAUUGAAUGGUCCGGUGAAGCGUUUGGACUAUGGUUUUCUGAUGGUCCGCCGUUGGAUUACCGUGGGAAGUUCGUUAAACCUUAUCAUUUAGAGGAAGGAGAAGUCGUAACA